RNAcentral lists this transfer RNA (101 nucleotides) under Streptomyces tendae. RNAcentral's name for it is "tRNA-OTHER". The record is from RNAcentral. Lineage: Bacteria; Bacillati; Actinomycetota; Actinomycetes; Kitasatosporales; Streptomycetaceae.
GGCCGUCCGCCCGACCGGCUCAGGGACCCACCUGCGCGGCAUCCAUCAACGAGACCCGCUCGCAGGGAGUUACGCGGGUUCGAUUCCCGCCACGGCCUCCA